This is an RNA transcript of Vigna umbellata (rice bean), 1633 nucleotides long. RefSeq lists it as uncharacterized. The record is from RefSeq and is a predicted model, not a curated record. NCBI's taxonomy places the organism in Eukaryota, Viridiplantae, Streptophyta, Magnoliopsida, Fabales, Fabaceae.
UGCUGAACAUAAAACGUGUCUACUGAAAACAAUAAAAGAUAGCCCCCACACAAGACAACACCCACCGUCUCUUCUCUCCAUAGAAAGAAAGGGAGAAAGAAAGAGAGAAAGAAAGAAAGAAAGAAGACGCAGUUGUUGUUGUUGGUGAUUCUGAGAAGAAGAUGGAUCUGGCACCGGAGGAGCUUCAAUUUCUGAACAUCCCCGACAUCCUGCGAGAAUCGACCUCAAUUCCAAAGCGUUCUCCGAAGACCUUCUACCUCAUCACGCUCACCCUUAUCUUCCCUCUCUCCUUCGCGAUCCUCGCCCACUCCCUCUUCACCCACCCUCUCAUCGUUCAGCUCCAGAACCCCUUCAACGACCCCUCCCAGACCUCCCACCAGUGGACCCUCCUCCUCCUCAUCCAGUUCUCCUACCUCCUCUUCCUCUUCGCAUUCUCCCUCCUCUCCACCGCCGCCGUCGUCUUCACCGUCGCAUCCCUCUACACCGCCAAGCCUGUCUCCUUCUCCUCCACCAUCUCCGCCAUCCCACGCGUCUUCAAGCGCCUCUUCAUCACCUUCCUCUGGGUCACCCUCCUCAUGAUCCUCUACAACUCCCUCAUCCUCCUCUCCCUCGUCCUCAUCAUCGUCGCCAUCGACACCAACAACUCUCUCCUCCUCCUCCUCUCCCUCCUCAUCAUCCUUUCCCUCUUCCUCGUCGCCCAUGUCUACAUCACCGCCCUCUGGCACCUCGCCUCCGUCGUCUCCGUCCUCGAGCCCGUCUACGGCCUCGCCGCCAUGAAGAAAAGCUACCACCUUCUCAAGGGUAGGACCAAGUACGCCGCCGUUCUCGUCGCUGCCUACCUCAUUGUCUGCAGCAUCAUCUCUGGGAUCUUCAGUGUCGUCGUCGUCCACGGUGGGGACGUCUACGGCGUCUUCACUAGGAUCGUCGUUGGAGGGUUCCUCGUGGGGCUGUUGGUCAUUGUCAAUUUGGUUGGGUUGUUGGUGCAGAGCGUGUUUUACUACGUUUGCAAGAGUUUCCAUCACCAGGGGAUUGAUAAGAGCGCGCUGCACGAUCACCUCGGAGGGUACCUUGGGGAAUACGUCCCUCUCAAGAGCAGCAUUCAGAUGGAGAAUUUGGAUGUAUGACUGUAACCAACCCCUACACGCGCAUGUGCGGAUUAUUUUGGUUGAUCUGUUUCAUUUGUUGCUUUAAAUAAGGAAUUUGAUCAAAUCCUGGUUUAAGAGUAGCUCAGCUCAGCUCAGUUCAGUUCACAUUCACCGGCGUUUGCUUCUUUCAUGUUUAUUAUGCACCAGGAUAAAUUUCUUGCGGUGGGAUUGCUUACUACUUACUAGAAGACAAUACAUUUAUAAUCAAAAAUUUCGAACUGUGUGAUUCUUUCUGAGCAAAUUAGUUCACGGACCCCUUUAAUGGGGAAGAGGCCAGGAAGCAGUGUUCAGAGUUUGCCUUUAAAGCAAAUCUUGAAUGGGGUGCCCUAUCUUGACUUUCGUGAAAGGUAAACUCUAUGGGAGGGAAGAGAGAGAGGGGAAGAUGUUGGGAUUCAGAUAAAACAGCUGAUUCUUUGUUUUGUAUUUUCUCUUUACUUUUGACAAUGUUUUUAGUUUUUCUUGAUAAAUUGCAAAGAUAUUUUUAUUUU